This 95-nucleotide transfer RNA is filed under the name Cylindrospermum sp. FACHB-282. RNAcentral's name for it is "tRNA-Met". It matches the Rfam family "tRNA". From Rfam's summary of the family: Transfer RNA (tRNA) molecules are approximately 80 nucleotides in length. Their secondary structure includes four short double-helical elements and three loops (D, anti-codon, and T loops). The record is from RNAcentral. Lineage: Bacteria; Bacillati; Cyanobacteriota; Cyanophyceae; Nostocales; Nostocaceae.
GUUUGAUUAGCUCAGUUGGUAGAGCGAUCGACUCAUAAUCGAUGGGUCACAGGUAUGCCUACGGCACGCUACGCGAACAACUCCUGUAUCAAACC